RNAcentral lists this transfer RNA (70 nucleotides) under Tricholepidion gertschi. Its description in RNAcentral is "tRNA-Trp". The record is from RNAcentral. Lineage: Eukaryota; Metazoa; Arthropoda; Insecta; Zygentoma; Lepidotrichidae.
AAGGUUUUAAGUUAUUAAAACUAAUAGCCUUCAAAGUUAUAAAAAAAAGUAAUUAACCUUUUAAGCCUUA